AUUACCAGCCCAGUCAAGAGAUAUAGACAAAGAAGGAACUCAUUUUGUCUCUGUAUUUCAUCUCUGCUUGAUUUUUCUUGGUACAACUUUGUAAAUUUAAGUCCCCAGAUGGUGACAGUGCUGAGUUUUUUUUUUUUUUUAUGUGAAGAAUUUUUCAGUUUGGGUUUAUCCACCUUAAGGAUCCCAGUCUUGGCCAUAAAGA
This is a non-coding RNA of Pelobates cultripes (western spadefoot toad), 202 nucleotides long. Lineage: Eukaryota; Metazoa; Chordata; Amphibia; Anura; Pelobatidae. The record is from the annotation of a GenBank genome assembly.